GUGCAUUAUGAUCUUUUGAAUUUUCUCCUUCAAAUAACGAUCGGUAUGAUAUUAUUUGAUUCUUUCUAAUUUUCUAAAUAAAUAAAUUUAUUUUUGUUAGAGGGUACCUAGUGUUGAGUCAUUGACAGGGUAAAGAGGAAAAAAGAGGAGAUAAGGAAGGCAAUGUAUUGGAUCUGGGUUAGAUUGGCCCACAUCUGUACCUAUCCCAUAAUCAAACAUCUUAUAUCCAUAUCUAUCCCAUACUUGCCUCGGUUGGAUCGGGUCGGGUCAAGUAUAGAUAAAGGUGGAUAGGCUAGAUAAGAAGAAUUGGAUCAGAUCGGAUACAUGUAAAUAAUAUAAAAUUAUUAAAAUUUUGAAAGGAGAUAUAUAUUUAUGUCAGGUCAGAUCAGAUUCAGAGUGAGAUGUACCAUUAUCCAUAUCCAACCUACUUAAGUUAUUUUUUUUAAAACUCAUAUUCAUCCCAGAUUCUAAUCGGAUCAAAUAAAAUGCAUCCCAUUCGGAUUGGAUUGGAUCAGAUACCCAGCAGAUCGGCUAAAAUUACCAUCCCUAAG
This 551-nucleotide long non-coding RNA is filed under the name Elaeis guineensis (African oil palm). RNAcentral's name for it is "long non-coding RNA (EGUI_LNC036808)". Lineage: Eukaryota; Viridiplantae; Streptophyta; Magnoliopsida; Arecales; Arecaceae. The record is from RNAcentral.